GGGGGACACAGGGAUACAAGGACGUGAGACAUGGGACAUAGGGACACGGGGACACAGGGAUACGAGGACGUGAGACAUGGGACAUAGGGACACGGGGACACAGGGAUACGAGGAUGUGAGACAUGGGACAUGGGGACACAGGGACAUGGGGACACAAGGAUGUGAGACAUGGGACAUGGGGACACGAGGAUAUGGGGAUGCAGGGACAUGGGGACAUGAGACAUGGGACGUGGGAACACAGGGAUGUGGGGACAUGGGAACACAGGGAUGUGGAGACACAGGGACAUGGGGACAUGGGGAUGUGCAGACAUGGGGACAUGAGGAUGUGGGGAGACAGGGAUGUGGGGACAUGGGGACGUGGGGAUGUGGGACAUGGGGACACGGAGACACAGGGACAUGGGGACAUGGGGAUGUGCAGACAUGGGGACAUGAGGAUGUGGGGGUCAUGGGGACACGGGGACAUGGGGACACGAGGAUGUGGGACAUGGGGACAGACACAAGGACAUGGGGAUGUGGGGAGAUGGGGAUGUGGAGACAUGGGGACAUGGGGACACAGGGAUGCGGAGACAUCGGGACAUGAGGAUGUGGGGGUCAUGGGGACACGGGGACAUGGGGACACAGGGUCAUGGGGACAUGGGGACAUGGGGACACAGGGACAUGAGGAUGUGGGGGUCAUGGGGACACAGGGACAUGGGGACACAGGG
This 704-nucleotide long non-coding RNA is filed under the name Numida meleagris (helmeted guineafowl). RNAcentral's name for it is "lncRNA (ENSNMEG00000000533.1)". Lineage: Eukaryota; Metazoa; Chordata; Aves; Galliformes; Numididae. The record is from RNAcentral.